CGGGAGAGCUCAAUUUGAAAUCUGGCGUCCUCAGGGCGUCCGAGUUGUAAUCUAUAGAGGCGUUUUCCGUGCCGGACCGUGUCCAAGUUCCUUGGAACAGGAUAUCAAAGAGGGUGACAAUCCCGUACUUGACACGACGACCGGUGCUCUGUGAUACGUCUUCUACGAGUCGAGUUGUUUGGGAAUGCAGCUCAAAAUGGGUGGUGAGUUCCAUCUAAAGCUAAAUAUUGGCGAGAGACCGAUAGCGAACAAGUACCGUGAGGGAAAGAUGAAAAGCACUUUGGAAAGAGAGUUAAACAGUACGUGAAAUUGUUGAAAGGGAAACGAUUGAAGUCAGUCGUGACCGAGAGGCUCAGCCGGUUCUGCCGGUGUAUUCCCCUCGGUCGGGUCAACAUCAGUUUUGUCCGGUGGAUAAGGGCGGUAGGAAGGUGGCACCCUCGGGUGUGUUAUAGCCUGCCGUCGCAUACAUCGGGUGAGACUGAGGAACGCAGCUCGCCUUUAUGGCCGGGGUUCGCCCACGUCCGAGCUUAGGAUGUUGACAUAAUGGCUUUAAACGACCCGUCUUGAAAACACGGG
RNAcentral lists this ribosomal RNA (576 nucleotides) under Papiliotrema laurentii. RNAcentral's name for it is "eukaryotic LSU rRNA". It matches the Rfam family "Eukaryotic large subunit ribosomal RNA", at positions 100 to 664 of the family's 3401-position model. The record is from RNAcentral. Lineage: Eukaryota; Fungi; Basidiomycota; Tremellomycetes; Tremellales; Rhynchogastremaceae.